AUGAAUUUUGGACCUUGGCAAUGCAAGAGGAGCUUAACCAAUUCGAACGCAAUGACAUUUGGGAUUUGGUGCCAAGACCCGAAAAUCAUACCAUAAUUGGUACGAAAUGUACCAGGUACAUCUCGAGAGGGUGGAUUUGGACCUUUAUCAACCAUUGAAACCUCACCAACAUUGUUUAACAUAGCAGAUCGAGUACCUACAUUCUGAUAAACUCGGCAUAGCUGGAAAUAGUGAUCAGGAUCAGAAGUUGAUGGAUGUCUAAUUAAGCGAACGAUUAAGCUUCAUUAAUUUAUUGCAAAAGUAAUGAAGUGUGCUCUUUUUGCACAGCUGCUUUAAAUUAAUCUGGUGAAUAUUUACCUUUUAAUCUUUAUGAUGACGCUUAUCACUAAUCAAAGCUAUCUCUUGUUUCAUCUAUAAUCCACUUAAUUUUUAUGUUGAAUUUGAAUCA
Molecule: non-coding RNA, 448 nt
Organism: Nicotiana tabacum (common tobacco)
Lineage: Eukaryota; Viridiplantae; Streptophyta; Magnoliopsida; Solanales; Solanaceae
Source: RefSeq, a predicted model, not a curated record